UGUAUUUGUGCUAAUGAAAGAGGUGUGUAUUUAAUAGUGUAUAAAAUAGGCAGAAAUAAGGUAGGAAAACAAUUAUGGAACCGGACUAUCAAUUAAAAUCAAUCAAUACAAGACUUCCUUUAAUUAAGGACUCAUACUCAAACUGUAAAAACUAUUCAACGAAAGGAAUCAAAUAAGCAGUUUGUGUAAAGUAGGCAAUUAGGGGUCGAUAUAUAAGAGAUUACUUAAGGGAAGAACUUUGAGAUACAUGGUUACAUAAAUAAGGUAAGAGAAAUCAAUCAGUAGCAAGUAAAUUAAGGAUCCAAGAUUUUAUAAUCACUGGUUCAUGAAUGAACCAGGUCAGAAAAGCUAAGAAAAGUUUUUAACUUAAGUCGAGUCACAGGGCAAUCAAACAAGGAAGGAAAUCAAUCACACCUAUACAGAAGGAAGUCUGAAAUCAAAAAAAAAAAAAAAUUGAAAGCCACUUUAUAGGGAAGUUCAGCACAUAUGAAGAGCACACAAACAUGCUAAGCUGAAAGAAAAAUGUCAUGUCAUUGCAAAAUCAGUAGAUAAUAGAUUGUAGGAGCAUGGUUGUCACAUAGGUUAGCAAUGUAGAAGAGAGAUAGUAUCAAAUACCAUACAAAAGGUCCGAUCUAAAAGACUUUAGAAGAGUUUAGUGGAGAAUCAGAAUUGCUUUAGGAGAUAGAGUUUGAAACAAAGAUUUCAAGACUUUGUUGAGCAACAGAUAAAACGACUUUAGAAUCUCAAAGUAGUUAGGGUUUCUAAAA
Molecule: long non-coding RNA, 767 nt
Filed under: Nicotiana benthamiana
Lineage: Eukaryota; Viridiplantae; Streptophyta; Magnoliopsida; Solanales; Solanaceae
Description: long non-coding RNA (NBEN_LNC009074)
Source: RNAcentral